RNAcentral lists this long non-coding RNA (2417 nucleotides) under Triticum aestivum (bread wheat). RNAcentral describes it as "long non-coding RNA (TAES_LNC012035)". The record is from RNAcentral. Lineage: Eukaryota; Viridiplantae; Streptophyta; Magnoliopsida; Poales; Poaceae.
GCCAUCCCGAGGCUCCUCAAGUUGGAUAAGAUCGACCCCGAGCCCCCGGAUCAAACCCUAGCCCCGAGAUUCCCCUCUCACACUCACGCUUCUCCUAUGAACCUCGUGUCCAAGCUGUCGUCGACGCGCCGUCACCGUCCCCGUGUCUACUGGCCUCCCCGGCGACCGGGAGUUCGUCCAGGGACUUCCUCGUCAUCGACUCCAUCAUCCCCGUGAAUCCGUUCAACCAGAGCCGCACCGUACGGAUGGAUCGAGCCGUCUUCCCCGGCACGGCCGCCGCCGUUCGUCGUCAGAUUUGUCGCCUCCUGAGCUCCCCUGACCUCCUAACCUCGUCCAUGAGCAUCACGGUGAGGCCCUCGUCCGAUUCCCCUACUUUUCCCCUCGACCCGCCGCCAUAGCCAUCACCUUGAGUUUGCCUUGGUCCGUACCGAAGCCAUGGCCGCGCUCAUCACGAGCUCCCACCCCCCCGACCGUGCCUCGCCACUGGACGUGGCCAAGCCACGCUAGUCCGUGCCCCGCCGUGCGCGUCGCUCCCUAGCGGUGCCCAGGUGCGCCAUCGCAGCCGCCCUCGGCCCUGCAGUUGCUCUGCUGCUGCUGUCGUGAACGUGUUGCUCCUGCCGCCCACUCUUGCCCAUGGCCACGCCCGCUUGCUCCUCGCGCGCGGACGUCUGCCCGGGUCGUGUCCCCUGCCCUGCUAGCUACUGCACUGCUCUUUGUGCUGCUGUCGCCGCCGACUGCGGCCUUGCUUCCUACCGCGCUGCUGAGCUGCUCCAAACGCUGCUGCUGCCUCAUACUGCUAUCACUGAUUGCUACUGGUGCUUGCUGAGCCACUGUGCACUCCCAUUCAUGCAUGCCCAGCCAUGCAUCGCUGGCUACCUACUGCCGGACGGGGCUUGCCUGCUCUCGUCGCCUGCUCCCAUCCCUGCUCCCCUUCGCUAAUUCUUCAUCUAACGGCAGGCGCUAUUUUCCUUCCCCGUGCGUCUUUUCUGGCAAAAAAGAAAUCACGAAGCUCCUGUAUUUCCGUUUGCCUGAAUACGUAUUCACUCCUCUACCUCUUUCCCUGCCGACAGUCGACCGUGGGGAGUGGAGGCAUCGAGUGGAUCGGUUACCUCCCCAAGGCGUUGUCGCGGCUUCCGGCGGGACGUCCGUCGGCGUCCACUGCCUUGUCUCACCGUAGUCCACAGUUAUGGCGCCGCGCUCGUCCCAGAUUUCGGCUUCUCCCGCCGCAAGACCGGCUCCUGCUCUUGAUUCGUCCUCGUGCAAGGGCUAGGUCAUGGAAUUGCCUGUGAUGCGGGCAGCCAUGGUGGAGCUCGGGUCGGGAUAGUGGAGGUGGUGGUGGCUGUUGUGCCUCCACUGAAGACCACGGGCGAUGGCAGGGCAGAGGCCGUGGCGAACGACGAGGGCGGCCACCAUCCAGCGGGUCUUCGUGGGCCCGACACCGGCCAUGCGGCUGCCGACCUAGCCUACUAGCGCCAUGGUCAGUACGGCAACUCACCCUCGCUCCCUUCCAUCCUCCUCUCUACUGUUUUGUGUAGAAUACAGAUGUCUCUUGGUUUCUUUUCCCUUCAGUUCAGAUCCGAGCAAGUCAACAGCUACCUAGUACCAAUUAAGCACACAUGCACAUCGGGGCCUUGCAAAUUAAUUUGUUCCAUACAGUGAUUCUUUAAAAGCUCAAAUUAUGUGAGUGCAAAAUUAUAUACCGAAAUUAGUUUCUAAAUGUCCUGGAUACCUAUUUAGCUCAGUUUUAGUUGAUAAUUCCUUUCUAUCAUUGUUUUGCUGCGUAAUGAAGGUGCUCAAUUAUAUAUAUUUUUAAAGAUGUUUAAUUUUUGAGGCAACAAAAUACAUAGUUCAAACACAGUGGAUUCGGACAUGGGAAUCUCUUGCGUUGCACAAAAUGCUGAUGGUGUCGUUUACUGGUUGAAAAUAAACUGAAAGUUAAUUAGCUACUGAUGGUGAUAUUUGCAUACAGGAUGAUGCCAGAAAGACGGUUCAACUAAGUGAACAAACUACUCCUUAGAUCGAUGCAUGCAAAGUCAUUGGUUUGGCUCAUCCUCAUCCAGGUGACAAUGGUGCUCCAUUACCAUAGUGAUCGACUAAUGGUCUGUUUGUCAGGUUAGACAAACUAAUCUAUGAUGUUGGUAAUAGUACAGUUUGUACCUGAUGCUAACCAAGCCUAUUAAUACAAGACAGAUAAGACUAUUUUUAUAUUUAUCACAUUCACAAAUUGCUUAUUCAGUCAAUUGCUGAUUGAUAUAGGUAGUCUCCUUCAAUCCAUGGUCGUAUACUCAUAGGUUCUAAUAGAAUUGCACAGAAGUACAUGAAAUAAAAAUCUAUAACAUUGAUUAAGCUGGCUUUUGUUGUUGGGAGAAUUGUAGAUUUUGUCUUGGGAUCAUCGUCGGGGUUGAGGUACCAACGAU